GUGCUCACUACAACUGCACAUAUAUUCAAAUUAGAAUGGUACAAAGAAGAUAGCACGGCCCUUAUGCAAUGACAACAGCCAAUAAAUUGAGAAUAGCACUAUUUUG
Molecule: small nuclear RNA, 106 nt
Organism: Jaculus jaculus (lesser Egyptian jerboa)
Lineage: Eukaryota; Metazoa; Chordata; Mammalia; Rodentia; Dipodidae
Source: RefSeq, a predicted model, not a curated record